Molecule: long non-coding RNA, 847 nt
Organism: Syzygium oleosum
Lineage: Eukaryota; Viridiplantae; Streptophyta; Magnoliopsida; Myrtales; Myrtaceae
Exons: 3
Source: RefSeq, a predicted model, not a curated record
CAAACGAUAAUAAUUCACGAGCCAUGAUCAGCUUCAAAGGGAAAAGCCCUCGUCUGCUUUCAAACUUGCCCAUCUUCUUCUUCGAAGCUCGAAAGACUUUUAAAUUGUGGAUGAGGGUAGAUAAAUCUUCGAAUGGGAAUCGUAAGAGUUGGGCCCAAGUGAGGCCACUCUGCCCAUCUAAUGGGUUCUUCUAUUUUCCGCAGAGGGACGUGAAGAACAGAAAAGAAAGCAGAGAAUUGGCAGAAAGUAGAGUAGAAGGCAGGAUCUCUAACAUGUGCGCUCUGAGCGUCUCGACAAGUCGGAUUAACUUCGUUUCGUAGCGUUUGGAGGACCAGCUGUGACUAUUAAGCAGUUCAUAAUCUUCUGAGGAUGGCCUGAGCAGGAACUUGCGAGGGAGGUCGAAUGAAUCUAUUCCAAGUGGUUAUUUUACUCCCACUUCAGAAAUCAGAGUCUUUAGUUUUGCAGAGCUGAAAAUUGCAACGAGAAGCUUCAGAUCUGAUACAAUUCUCGGCGAGGGUGGUUUUGGUAGAGUCUUCAAAGGCUGCCUUGAUGUUAAGGGGUCUUCCCAGAGCAAAAGAAUGACUCCAAUUACCAUCAAAAUGUCGAACCCAGAGAGCAUGGGAUUCAAAGAGUGGAAGUCAGAGGUGAACUUCCUGCGCAGCUUAUCACAUCCAAACAUUGUCAGGCUAAUGGGAUACUGUGGGAGGAUAAAGAACUACUGCUUGUCCAUGAGUUCAUGCCAAAGGGUACCCUGAAGAAUCAUCUCUUUGGAAGUAAGGUUCUUUCUUGGGCGAUAUAUACAUGCUUGCUUUAAAUUUAUGGCAAAUAUGAUCUUUUCUUGGUUCAA